Molecule: long non-coding RNA, 379 nt
Organism: Tupaia belangeri chinensis (Chinese tree shrew)
Lineage: Eukaryota; Metazoa; Chordata; Mammalia; Scandentia; Tupaiidae
Exons: 2
Source: RefSeq, a predicted model, not a curated record
GACAGCACUGGGUACCUCGAUUCAUCUCUCUUGAGCUCUGGAAAAGAAGGGGUUGGCGAGGUCCCCACCUACGAGCCAAGGCCUGGUUACAUCACAAUCACCUGAGGCCAUUGUUCAGAACUGAUGCUCCCACACUUGACCACAGCUCUCAGUCAGCCUCCUGGGUGGGAGCGUAGUAUGCCUGCUUAGCAAGCAACCCAGGUGAUUCUGCUAAGCCCCUGGUGCAGGUCGGGGCAGCAGGUAAUCAGUCUCUCUGACCAGGCUGAGCUUGCUGCUUCAGUAGCCAGGUAGAGGCCAAGAGAUGCUGCUAAACAUCCUACAUGCCCUGGACAUCCCCACAACGAAGAAUUAUGCAGUCCAACAUGUGAAGUGCUAAGGG